ACCUGCAUCGAAAGUGAUUAGGGUUUCUAUUGUGGCCCAAUCAUUGAUACUGCAGGAAGAGCAAAAUGUAAAAGCUUUUCCCGUGUUUGGUGAGUGACUUUGUAUCAACCAAACCCUGUGACUUUUGCACA
RNAcentral lists this small nucleolar RNA (131 nucleotides) under Xenopus laevis (African clawed frog). Its description in RNAcentral is "Small nucleolar RNA SNORA71". It matches the Rfam family "Small nucleolar RNA SNORA71". Rfam says of the family: The members of this family belong to the H/ACA class of snoRNAs which bind a number of proteins (including dyskerin, Gar1p and Nop10p) to form snoRNP complexes. This class of snoRNAs are thought to guide the sites of modification of uridines to pseudouridines by forming direct base pairing interactions with substrate RNAs. This family includes U71 (SNORA71), ACA39 (SNORA39) and ACA60 (SNORA60). Lineage: Eukaryota; Metazoa; Chordata; Amphibia; Anura; Pipidae. RNAcentral also lists the same sequence under 1 other name. The record is from Rfam by way of RNAcentral.